Schizosaccharomyces pombe (fission yeast) is the source of this 1657-nucleotide non-coding RNA. The record is from the annotation of a GenBank genome assembly. NCBI's taxonomy places the organism in Eukaryota, Fungi, Ascomycota, Schizosaccharomycetes, Schizosaccharomycetales, Schizosaccharomycetaceae.
GAGAACGUUCUAUUUCGUCGGCUAACCACAUCAAUUUGAAAUCUGGGAAAAAGGUUUUAAUUGCUUUAAACACCCAUCUUGUCAUGGAAAGAUCUAAAGGUGAAUUUAAACUGACAGAGGGAUGUUGCACUUUGACGGCAACCCAAACAUCUGAAUCUUUAAGUCUUGCUUUGUGAACUUGUGCUAAACUAGCUACACCAAGUGCAAUAGGAUCAAAUUCAUCGAACGUCUCGUCAAGACCUUUACCAGUGUCGACUCUGAAAAGGUGAUCUAUAUCCUUCAGACUAGUUGACGGACAACGAUCUUGUAAUUUCACCAUUGUAUUGGUCCAUUCCUAAAUAAUUAUACAUUAGAAAAUGAAAGGAAUAUAAUUUAUGAGAAUCAUCGUAGAAUAUCCAGAGCAGGGAUAAAAGGUGUCAAAACCUCAUCGAAGUCAAUCUAACUUACCUUUGGAAUUACAUAACCCAUAGCAGACAAAUGCUGCCCAAUUUUAAUAUAUAUACCUCCAUUCUCUUCAAAGACCUUUAAAGAUCUUUCUGCACAUCGCAAAUGGCAUUCACUCAAUGCUAGCUGACGCUCCUCUUCUGAAGCAUACGAAGAACCAAGUACUUUUUUGUAAUCAGAAAAGCAAAGAAAUCCAGCCAAAACAACACGAUAUGCUCUUUUAGAUGAUACACCUGCAUGCUUUACAGGAUCAAAGUCUACUAGCGCAACAGAUGCCAUUAAAGUAAUUGAAGCGCCAACAACAGCAGGUUUCUUAAAAUUAGUAUGCUCCCGAGCAUGGUGAGUAAAAGAAAUACAUGAUGAUUUCUUUUUUGGAUAUGAUCGGAAGCAACGAGUAAUUCUUGGCCAGGAAAACCGAGAAAACAUAUACUGUAGAGAGAAUUGAGGUGAGGUAUAAGAUGGAUAUGGACCAGAAACUUGCGAUUAUUUGACAUGAAGGAGCGAAGCCAAAAAUGCCAAUAAUUCUUUCUUUUUGAAUAAUUAUAUACUAAAACUUGGCUUGUUAAAACAUAGGAGUUCAUAUAAUCGGUUUAUAACAACAUUGUUUCUGUACGACUGCUCCUUCUUUUGCUUCAAUAUGCAAUCUUCUAUAAACUCGAUACCUAACUAAAAGUACAGAUCGGAAUUAAAAUUAGGUAGCAUACAUUUCUUAAAAAUUCUAGCUCGUAGUUCUACAAUGAGCCAGAGUGUGUGAGCUAUAUUAAAUUUCUAAGUUAUGUGUAGAUAGUUUUCAUUUUUUUUUUUUACGAAAAUUUUACUACAGGAAACUGUAGAAGUACUAUCUUAUUGAUAAUCUUGAUUAUUGAACAUUGAGUUCCCUAGUCAAAUACAAACAAUACACAAUUCAGCUUUUUUCUUCUUAUUUACAAACCUAGGAUAGGAAGUUUAAGAAUUUUAUUAAAUACAUUAUAUGAAAGCAACCUGACAAAAGUGAAAAAUACUAAUCCUUUCGUCCUAAUAUGGCCGUUUCAAAGAUUGGGUUUAUAUCUGGGAUUUAGAAGAAUUUAAAAUUGAAGCAUUAAUAUUUUGUUAUAACAAUGUCAAUAGUUGUCAGUUUCAAAAGAACUAUAAAUGUCACUUGAAAAUGAAUAUCAGUCAACAUACUGACAUUUCCAGAGAUUGAAGAGAGUACCCAUUGUAAAAUUUUGCUUUC